RNAcentral lists this ribosomal RNA (1035 nucleotides) under uncultured archaeon. RNAcentral describes it as "bacterial SSU rRNA". It matches the Rfam family "Archaeal small subunit ribosomal RNA", at positions 36 to 1074 of the family's 1478-position model. The record is from RNAcentral.
GAGUUCGAUUAAGCCAUGCGAGUCAAGAGUUCUUCGUGAACUCGGCGGACUGCUCAGUAACACGUGGGUAAUCUACCCUAAGGUCAGGGAUAAUCCCGGGAAACUGGGAAUAAUACCUGAUAGGUGAAGAUGUCUGGAACGAUACUUCGCCCAAAGCUCCGGCGCCUUAGGAUGAGCCUGCGCCCGAUUAGGUUGUUGGUGGUGUAAAGGACCACCAAGCCCGUUAUCGGUACGGGUGUUGAGAGACAUAGCCCGGAGAUGGGGGCUGAGACACGGCCCCAGGCCCUACGGGGCGCAGCAGGCGCGAAAACUACGCAAUGCGCGAAAGCGUGACGUGGGAACUCCAAGCGCCUUGCCUUAGGGUAAGGCUUUUGUUUAGUGUAAGUAGCUAAACGAAUAAGUGCUGGGUAAGACCGGUGCCAGCCGCCGCGGUAACACCGGCAGCGCAAGUGGUGACCGCUUUUAUUGGGCCUAAAGCGUUCGUAGCCGGUUUGGUAAGUCUUUGGGUAAAUCCUCCAGCUUAACUGGAGGAAUUCCGGAGAUACUGCCAGACUUGGAGUUGAGAGAGGUCAGAGGUACCUCUGGGGUAGGGGUGAAAUCCUAUAAUCCUAGGGGGACCACCAGUGGCGAAGGCGUCUGACUAGAGCAAGCUCGACGGUGAGGGACGAAAGCCAGGGGCGCGAACGGGAUUAGAUACCCCGGUAGUCCUGGCCGUAAACGCUGCGCGCUAGGUGUUGCAUGCUCUACGAGGGCGUGCAGUGCCGAAGAGAAGUUGAUAAGCGUGCCGCCUGGGAAGUAUUACCGCAAGGUAGAAACUUAAAGGAAUUGGCGGGGGAGCACCACAAGGGGCGGAGUCUGCGGUUCAAUUGGAUUCAACGCCGGGAAACUCACCGGGAUCGACGGCAGAAUGAUAGCCAAGCUGAUGACUUUGCUUGACGAGCCGAGAGGAGGUGCAUGGCCGUCGUCAGCUCGUACUGUGAAGCGUCCUGUUAAGUCAGGCAACGAGCGAGACCCGUGCCCUAAGUUGCGACGUCU